RNAcentral lists this long non-coding RNA (422 nucleotides) under Rattus norvegicus (Norway rat). Its description in RNAcentral is "long non-coding RNA NONRATT013892". The record is from RNAcentral. Lineage: Eukaryota; Metazoa; Chordata; Mammalia; Rodentia; Muridae.
CCCCUCACUCUGCUCUGAUGCUCACAGCCCUUUGGAGUAUGUCUCCAUGUCCUUGUUUCUUGCAUGUUCAGCAGGCACAGGCCAACUGAGUUUUCUCAGAUCACUGUAAAGACCAGAUGAUGCCUGGCUACCUCAAAUUCCCAGCACAAUCCAGUUUCAAAUCCUAGGGAUACCAAAGUUCUAACAAAUGUUUCGAGCCUAGAAUUGUGGCUCAGCGAGAGCACACCAAAGAAAAAGUGUUUGGUAGGCUCAGCCCUAAGGAAGCCCAUAAGUUGGAGAGAAAAUGGCAGAGAAAAGAGUUAGCAAACUUCCGGCUGGGGAUUUAGCUCAGUGGUAGAGCGCUUACCUAGGAAGCGCAAGGCCCUGGGUUCGGUCCCCAGCUCCAAAAAAAAAAAAAAAAGAACCAAAAAAAAAAAAAAAAA